UACGUAGGGUGCGAGCGUUAAUCGGAAUUACUGGGCGUAAAGCGUGCGCAGGCGGUUUUGUAAGCCAGAUGUGAAAGCCCCGGGCUCAACCUGGGAAUGGCAUUUGGGACUGCAAGGCUGGAGUUUGGCAGAGGAGACUGGAAUUCCUGGUGUAGCAGUGAAAUGCGUAGAUAUCAGGAGGAACACCGGUGGCGAAGGCGGUUCUCUGGGCCUUACCUGACGCUGAGGAGCGAAAGCAUGGGGAGCAAACAGG
Molecule: ribosomal RNA, 253 nt
Filed under: uncultured bacterium
Lineage: Bacteria
Description: partial 16S ribosomal RNA
Rfam family: Bacterial small subunit ribosomal RNA
Source: RNAcentral